RNAcentral lists this ribosomal RNA (503 nucleotides) under Gergithus sp. 4 NS-2013. RNAcentral describes it as "partial 16S ribosomal RNA". The record is from RNAcentral. Lineage: Eukaryota; Metazoa; Arthropoda; Insecta; Hemiptera; Issidae.
UCGCCUGUUUAUCAAAAACAUGUCCUUUUGUGUCUUUUUUAGGUUUAACCUGCUCAAUGAUUUUAAAUAGCCGCAGUAUUUUAACUGUGCUAAGGUAGCAUAAUAAUUAGUCUUUUAAUUGAGGUUUGGAAUGAAUGGUUGGACGAGAAAUUUACUUUAUUUUUUUUAUUUGUUGAAUUUAAUUUUUUAGUUAAAAAGCUUGAAUUUAGAAGAGGGACGAUAAGACCCUAUAGAUCUUAAAAAUUUAAUUUUUUUUAAGAUUUUUGGAUGUAAUAUUCUUAGAAGUUUUAUUUUUUUUUGUUGGGGUGACAGUUAAAAUUUUUUACUUUAAUUUUUUUUUACAUAUUUAUAUGUUUAUUUUGAUCCUUAAUUUUCGAUUAUAAGAUAAAGAUACCUUAGGGAUAACAGCGUUAUAUAAUUGGAGAGUUCUUAUUGAUAAUUAUGUUUGCGACCUCGAUGUUGGAUUAAAAUUUGGCUGUGGGGUAGGUUUACAGUUCUAGGUC